UUUCCGUAGGUGAACCUGCGGAAGGAUCAUUAAAGAGUUUUAUGGUGUGAGGUUGUAGCCCUUAAGGUGCUUAAGGCAGCCUUAAGGCGUUAACACCCACAACCUAUGCGUAUGUUGUGUUUGACUGUGUAAUAAGUGACUAAGAGACAAUGAGACAACUUUUAACAAUGGAUCUCUUGGCUCUC
RNAcentral lists this unclassified non-coding RNA (185 nucleotides) under soil metagenome. RNAcentral's name for it is "partial contains small subunit ribosomal RNA, internal transcribed spacer 1, and 5.8S ribosomal RNA". The record is from RNAcentral.